UUAAGUCCGUAACGAGCGCAACCCUUGUCCUUAGUUACCAGCACGUUAUGGUGGGCACUCUAAGGAGACUGCCGGUGCAAACCGGAGGAAGUGGGGAUGACGUCAAGUCAUCAUGGCCCUUACGGCCUGGGCUACACACGUGCUACAAUGGUCGGUACAAAGGGUUGCCAAGCCGCGAGGUGGAGCUAAUCCCAUAAAACCGAUCGUAGUCCGGAUCGCAGUCUGCAACUCGACUGCGUGAAGUCGGAAUCGCUAGUAAUCGUGAAUCAGAAUGUCACGGUGAAUACGUUCCCGGGCCUU
RNAcentral lists this ribosomal RNA (300 nucleotides) under uncultured Pseudomonas sp. RNAcentral describes it as "bacterial SSU rRNA". It matches the Rfam family "Bacterial small subunit ribosomal RNA", at positions 1080 to 1382 of the family's 1533-position model. The record is from RNAcentral. Lineage: Bacteria; Pseudomonadati; Pseudomonadota; Gammaproteobacteria; Pseudomonadales; Pseudomonadaceae.